RNAcentral lists this ribosomal RNA (586 nucleotides) under Cicindela (Rivacindela) sp. JP-32b. RNAcentral's name for it is "partial 16S ribosomal RNA". It matches the Rfam family "Bacterial large subunit ribosomal RNA", at positions 1921 to 2739 of the family's 2925-position model. The record is from RNAcentral. Lineage: Eukaryota; Metazoa; Arthropoda; Insecta; Coleoptera; Carabidae.
AUUUAAAUGGCCGCAGUAUUUUGACUGUGCAAAGGUAGCAUAAUUAUUAGUUUUUUAAUUGAAAGCUUGUAUGAAGGGUUGGACGAGAUGAAAUCUGUCUUUAUUUAAAUUAAAAUAUAAUUUAACUUUUAAGUAAAAAGGCUUAAAUGUUUAUAAAAGACGAGAAGACCCUAUAGAUCUUUAUUUAAUUAAAAUUUUAAUAAUUUAGGAUUAUUUUAAUUUAAAGUUUUAACUAAAUUUUAUUGGGGUAAUAUAAAGAUUAAAUAAAUUCUUUUUAUUUAUAACAUUGAUUUAUGAAUAUAUGAUCCAUUAAUAUUGAUUAUAAGAUUAAGUUACCUUAGGGAUAACAGCGUAAUUUUUUUGGAGAGCUCAUAUCGAUAAAAAAGUUUGCGACCUCGAUGUUGGAUUAAAAAUUAGCUUGGGUGCAGAAGCUUAAGAUUUUGGUCUGUUCGACCAUUAAAUUUUUACAUGAUCUGAGUUCAGACCGGCGUGAGCCAGGUCGGUUUCUAUCUUUAUUAAGAUAAAAUGUUUUAGUACGAAAGGACCAAAUAUUUAAUAUAAUUAUAUUUAUUUUUUGAAGAAUAUU